UGUACACGUGCUCCCAAGGUAUGGGGGAGACAAAAAACUUACCCACUUAAAAUCUGCCAUUGAUUAGACAAAAACAAGCAUUGAAUAUAUUAAACACUACCAAACCAAAACUAAACUUUCUAACUGAUUUCAAAAAGACAUUUCUUCCUAACGCUCCUCUAAACCAAACGCAGUUAAGGCCUCAAAAUCGAAAUGAAAAGAAACUCCUGAUUUCUUCAGAACCACAAAUGAACAACUUAUGGUGUUCAUCAUCACCAUCUUAAUAGAUCCGAACAAACCAAAUUUCGAUAACAAAAGGUAAUGGUAACGCAGGCGACACAAACAAACUUAAACCAAAACUUAGAUCUUGGAUCUAUCGUCAGAAAUUUUCACGAAUCGCAGCAAAGACUCUUACAAAUCCACAACAAUCCACACUUAACCUUAAACAAACAUGGAUAAGCAAUAUGUUCUCCAAUCGUCCAUGCGACUGGCGACUACAUGGAACUGCAAUGCCUCGAGAAGAUCGAACAAUAAUACAAAGAGAAAUGAAGGAUAUCGCCGGAGUUUUGCGACUCCGACUGGAUUCCGACGAAUGUGUAUUUACCUUAUGUAAGUGUCUUUCUGUGUGUGAGUCCUUCUCCCGUUUUCGUUUAGCUUUCGACUCUUCUGUCUUCUUACUCCCAUGUUUCUAUGUCGCAAGUCAUGAUGGUCGAUUUAGUUCGACUAAUCCAGAGCUCCGAUGAGAAACUCUGGAUAGUUUUCGAUUGUAUGAACUUUUUAAUGAAGGGUUUUGUGUGUGUUUUGGCAGGGUAACAGUGCAACCUUUUUCUUUUUUUUCCCUUGCAGCGAUCCCUCCUUUAUAUAGAAUAGGUGAGGUCCUUUUGAUGGUGCGUGAAUGAUGAGCUGGUGAAAUCCAUAUUCCGUUAGGGAAAGAUCUCCCUCAUAUUUGUGGGGACCAAUUCAUAAUCUUGCAAAAGAUCUAUCUGAUUAUAGUGGUGACCAAUAUUGGAGGAGCGGUUUUAAACCUUCUGUUCGUGAGCUCUGCUGCCUGUUGUCCUUCUGGUGUAAUCGUUGUUGUAACCUUGUUUUUUCGUUGAGCCUUGUUUUGAAACGGAUAACCGAAGGCUCUACUCCUCCGCAACAAUGAACUUGGGAGCCUUAACCUGUCAGAUGUGUUUGCUCAUAUAAUCCAUCUUUAUCUUUUCUCAAGAGUCAUCUUGUCCAAUGUAUGAAUAUCGUCAGUUAACAGUUCAUGCAUUUGCCAUUUUCCUUAAGACUAACAUUGUCUUGUGGUCUUUGAAACACAUGUUUGCUAGAUGGAUGAUCUGAGCUUCUCCUUCAUGGUGAUCACCUUCUUAUAAAAGGCAAAGUUUACUUGCAGCUGGCUCUAGUUGGUGUUUUACUGAUAAUCCGACACGGCUUGUGCCUUCACUGUCAAAAAUGAUUGGCAGCAGUUGUACAUGCCCUGUAUGUUUCACACUUUCGGAUUUGGUCUGCAGCAAAUUAAAGUUUGAUGAAUGCUGCCUUUGUUGCUGGUUUUAUAUUCAUAGCUGAGAGUGCCAAUUUUUAGUGCGGUAAAAAACCAUAUAUGAGUUUGUAUUACCCUGUGCACAUGUAUUACAUUUGUACUGGCAGCUUGUAAUAGGUCUUGUGGCGUCCAUUUGGCUUUUGUUUAACAUGACUUGAUUCCUUUGCGUUUGCAUUUAUGUGUUGUGAUCCUCAUGACUUCGUGGCUAUAUCCCAGGUAUUGCUCAUUAGGCAUUUCAUGUUGGUGGUGCAUUCAAUGGCACGGUCCUUAAUAUUCAUGAUAAGUCCAUCUGUGCGGCGAUCGGUUGUCAACUGGAGGGCCAUUAUCCCAACAACAUAUGCAGCUAGCUCAUUCGAGCAAAGGUGGUUCCUUCUUGAGAUUCUAGGUCAAGGUAAUACGAAUUAUCACCACACGCAAACCCUCUGUACUCAGCGAUGCUGUCAGGAAUGAUACGUCGCACGCUGCUUCAACUCAAACGAAGUCGAAAGUAAUAAGAAAGACGGAAGUUGGAGAGGUCGAAGUCAUGACUACGUACACUUGCGUUUUCGCCCUUGUCGUAGACAGAACACUUGGGUCGAUGACAGACGUCCUUUCCAUGGAUUCAAACAACAGGGGUUGUCUUGGUUUUUAACACUUAAUCCUCACGUCCAACUUAAAAGAUCCUAAAGGCGUUUGAAAUGAAGUCAAACCAACAACAAGUACAAUCCCCUCCAUUUACGAUGAUAUGCUCACGUUAAAUUCUAAGACGCUUAUUAUUAGAAUGCUAAUUGUAGGAAACUUUGUGAAUUUUGGAUGUAUGGUUGGAAUUUGUACUGAGUACUAUUCAUGAAAUGGAAUUGAGGCAUGCUGGUAUUGAAAUUGUAACCUAAGUUUCUCUGAACAAUCAUUUAAUUUGAAAAUUUAUGAUGGAACUGCUAGCUUAACAUUAAAAGAAUGUAUCUUGUGAUUGUAUUGAACGGUACCCACU
This is a long non-coding RNA of Lathyrus oleraceus (garden pea), 2474 nucleotides long. RefSeq lists it as uncharacterized. The transcript is spliced from 3 exons. Lineage: Eukaryota; Viridiplantae; Streptophyta; Magnoliopsida; Fabales; Fabaceae. The record is from RefSeq and is a predicted model, not a curated record.